UCCGUAGGCGGUUUAGUAAGUCAGUGGUGAAAGCCCAUCGCUCAACGGUGGAACGGCCAUUGAUACUGCUAAACUUGAAUUAUUGUGAAGUAACUAGAAUAUGUAGUGUAGCGGUGAAAUGCUUAGAGAUUACAUGGAAUACCAAUUGCGAAGGCAGGUUACUAACAAUAUAUUGACGCUGAUGGACGAAAGCGUGGGUAGCGAACA
Molecule: ribosomal RNA, 207 nt
Filed under: uncultured bacterium
Lineage: Bacteria
Description: partial 16S ribosomal RNA
Rfam family: Bacterial small subunit ribosomal RNA
Source: RNAcentral